RNAcentral lists this transfer RNA (72 nucleotides) under Bos taurus (domestic cattle). It matches the Rfam family "tRNA". From Rfam's summary of the family: Transfer RNA (tRNA) molecules are approximately 80 nucleotides in length. The record is from Rfam by way of RNAcentral. RNAcentral also lists the same sequence under 1 other name. Lineage: Eukaryota; Metazoa; Chordata; Mammalia; Artiodactyla; Bovidae.
UCCCUGGUGGCUCAAUGGAUAAAGAGUCUGCCUGUAAUGCAGGAGACCCAGGUUCAAUCCCUGGGAAGGGAA